RNAcentral lists this ribosomal RNA (506 nucleotides) under Mesoflavibacter zeaxanthinifaciens. RNAcentral's name for it is "bacterial SSU rRNA". It matches the Rfam family "Bacterial small subunit ribosomal RNA", at positions 394 to 900 of the family's 1533-position model. Lineage: Bacteria; Pseudomonadati; Bacteroidota; Flavobacteriia; Flavobacteriales; Flavobacteriaceae. The record is from RNAcentral.
AUGCCGCGUGCAGGAAGACUGCCCUAUGGGUUGUAAACUGCUUUUAUACAGGAAGAAACGCUUCUACGUGUAGAGGUUUGACGGUACUGUAAGAAUAAGGAUCGGCUAACUCCGUGCCAGCAGCCGCGGUAAUACGGAGGAUCCAAGCGUUAUCCGGAAUCAUUGGGUUUAAAGGGUCCGUAGGUGGAUAAUUAAGUCAGAGGUGAAAUCCUGCAGCUCAACUGUAGAAUUGCCUUUGAUACUGGUUAUCUUGAGUCAUUAUGAAGUGGUUAGAAUGUGUAGUGUAGCGGUGAAAUGCAUAGAUAUUACACAGAAUACCGAUUGCGAAGGCAGAUCACUAAUAAUGUACUGACACUGAUGGACGAAAGCGUGGGGAGCGAACAGGAUUAGAUACCCUGGUAGUCCACGCCGUAAACGAUGGUCACUAGCUGUGUGGAUUUCGGUCUGCGUGGCUAAGCGAAAGUGAUAAGUGACCCACCUGGGGAGUACGUUCGCAAGAAUGAAAC